GCGGACGGCUCAGUAACACGUAGUCAACCUAACUCGUGGACGUGGAUAACCUCGGGAAACUGAGAAUAAACCACGAUAGAUCAUAGUGCCUGGAAUGGCUUAUGGUCCAAACAGUUUACUGCCAUGGGAUGGGACUGCGGCCUAUCAGCUUGUUGGUGAGGUAAUGGCCCACCAAGGCGAUUACAGGUACGGGCUCUGAGAGGAGAAGCCCGGAGAUGGGUACUGAGACACGGACCCAGGCCCUAUGGGGCGCAGCAGGCGAGAAACCUUAGCAAUGUGCGAAAGCACGACUGGGUCAGUCCGAGUGAUUCCUGAUAAAGGAGUCUUUUGCUUGUCCUAAAAGCACAGGUGAAUAAGGGGUGGGCAAGUCUGGUGUCAGCCGCCGCGGUAAUACCAGCACCUCGAGUGGUCAGGACGUUUAUUGGGCCUAAAGCAUCCGUAGCCUGCUCUGCAAGUCUUCGGUCAAAUCCACCUGCUCAACAGAUGGGCUGCUGGAGAUACUACAGAGCUAGGGAGUGGGAGAGGCAGACGGUAUUCAGUGGGUAGGGGUAAAAUCCUCUGAUCCAUUGAGGACCACCAGUGGCGAAGGCGGUCUGCCAGAACACGUUCGACGGUGAGGGAUGAAAGCUGGGGGAGCAAACCGGAUUAGAUACCCGGGUAGUCCCAGCUGUAAACGAUGCAAACUCGGUGAUGCAUUGGCUUAUGGCCA
This 709-nucleotide ribosomal RNA is filed under the name uncultured archaeon. RNAcentral describes it as "bacterial SSU rRNA". It matches the Rfam family "Archaeal small subunit ribosomal RNA", at positions 81 to 792 of the family's 1478-position model. The record is from RNAcentral.